Molecule: ribosomal RNA, 421 nt
Filed under: uncultured microorganism
Description: bacterial SSU rRNA
Rfam family: Bacterial small subunit ribosomal RNA
Source: RNAcentral
GAGUUUGAUCGUGGCUCAGAGUGAACGCUGGCGGUAGGCCUAACACAUGCAAGUCGAACGGCAGCACAGAGGAGCUCGCUCCUUGGGUGGCGAGUGGCGGACGGGUGAGGAAUACAUCGGAAUCUACUCUGUCGUGGGGGAUAACGUAGGGAAACUUACGCUAAUACCGCAUACGACCUACGGGUGAAAGCAGGGGAUCUUCGGACCUUGCGCGAUUGAAUGAGCCGAUGUCGGAUUAGCUAGUUGGCGGGUAAAGGCCCACCAAGGCGACGAUCCGUAGCUGGUCUGAGAGGAUGAUCAGCCACACUGGAACUGAGACACGGUCCAGACUCCUACGGGAGGCAGCAGUGGGGAAUAUUGGACAAUGGGCGCAAGCCUGAUCCAGCCAUACCGCGUGGGUGAAGAAGGCCUCGGUUGUAAG